CUUGCCGAUCAGAAGGUCAGCGGUUUGAAUCCCCGUGACAGGGUGAGUUCCCGUUGCUCGGUCCCUGCUCCUGCCAACCUAGCAGUUCGAAAGCACGUCAAACUGCAAGUAAAUAAAUAGGUACCGCUCUGGCAGGAAGGUAAACGGCGUUUCCGUGCGCUGCUCUGGUUCGCCAGAAGCGGCUUAGUCAUGCUGGCUACAUGCUCCCUCAGCCAGUAAAGCGAGAUGAGCGCCGCAACUCCAGAGUUGGUCACGACUGGACCUAAUGGUCAGGGGUCCCUUUACCUUUACCUUUAUGUAUAGGGUGCCUACAUUCUGCAUGGACUGGUUGUAACACUUACUUGGAUAAAAUACAUGUUAACAUGUAAAUGGCUUUAGAUACCUAUUAGGUCUGUAAAUUACCAUAUAGCAUAUAUUCAACACAAAAACUAGAGACAACUUGUUAUUGACGAAGGACAGCUGGACAUAUAAAGGGCCCCAUUGCCUUCAGUAGCUUAGGGCCUCAUCAAACCUAAAUCCAUAGCUGUCAACUUUUCCCUUUUCUUGCGAGGAAUCCUAUUCGGAAUAAGGGAAUUUCCCUUAAAAAAAGGGAAAUGUUGACAGCUAUGUCUAAAUCCGGCCCUGAGUUCAGACCUAGGCAAACCAUCUGAGGAAGGGGGCAAGUUUGUGACCCAUCUGCACUACACAUUCAAAGCAGUAUCUUACCACUUUAAUUAAGCAUGGCUUCUCCCAGUGAAUCCUGGGAACUGUAGUUUAAAGGUGCCAGAGACGCAGCAUGGGGGGGGGGGGAGGCUACCAAGGUGAUCGCGCUGGGUGCAACCAUUUUUAGGGGGGAGCCUCUGCAGCUGCUGCCCCGACUGGAGGUGCUCCCCGUUCUGCCCGCCUCACCGAAGCAGCACACUGAGCAAGAAGUGGGGAGGAUAGGCCAGUGGUGGUCAAACUCUCCCCUCUAGCUGUUUUGGGACUACAAUUCCCAUCAUCCCUGACCACUGGUCCUGUUAGCUAGGGAUGAUGGGAGUUGUAGUCCAUAAACAGCUGGAGGGCCAAGUUUGGCCACCACUGGGGUAGGCCCUUGCGUCCCCCACCAGUGGUGGAGGCGGGCAGAGGGCAAGGCUCACAGCGGUGGCAGCGCCCCAGCCUGAGGAGGUGCACACACAUGUCCCACUGCUGCUCUGCAGCUUUGUCCAGCAGCAGCAGCAGUGCUGCAAGGAGGCAUAAUAAUUUCCUUGCCCUGGGCUCUGGCAACCCAUGCUACACCACCGAUAUGGCUUGACAGGGCCGUCUCAGGACAUUUUGCUGCCUGAGGCAAAAUGGACAGAUUGCCACUGAAGGGUGCUGAAAGUCGUUAGGACUCUCACGGAGCUCCCAUUCCCAGAGCUCCCUGGGGGGAGGAAAGCGACUGGGAAACCACUCUGAGAACUGUAGUGGCAUGGAAUAGAGGCCUCCCAGCAACUCACAGCUCUUGAACUAUAGUUCCCAGGGUUCUUUAGCGGAAGCCAUGACUGUUUCCAUUGGUAUGGUGCUGCUUUAAACCAGCGGUUCUCAACCUGUGGGUCCCCAGAUGUUGUUGGACUACAACUCCCAUCAUCCCUGAGCUCUGGCCUUGCUAGCUAGGGGUGAUGGGAGUUGUAGUUCAACAACAUCUUAGGACCCACAGGUUGAGAAAGGCUGGAAUAUACAGUCAGAGGGGCAUUGUAUUGGCAAGUUAACCCUUUCUCCCCUUUGGUGUAACCUUUGUUGGGGGCGGGCACCCAUGCAAGUGGUGGGCGGGGCCAGAGGCAAAUAAUGGGCGGAGCAACAGGUGUAACUUUUGCCUCUGCUACAUUCCAGCCUCACAACACUCAGAGGCAUCUUCAAGCCUCUAUCCAGGCAGGCAAGGAUCUUCCCAGUUCAAGGACAACAUCCCAGCCAGUUUAAUGGACUUGAGGAGUGUCCAUUGCAGGGGCAAUGAGGGGGUUAGCCCAGGUUUGCCAAGCCAAGCUCACGGGCAGCACCAAUGGUUUUGGGGCACCUCUGCUGGUCUGCAAAGAGGGAAAAGUUCCUUCGCAAACACGACUUGCAUCCCCUGCAAAGGGGUUUCAUAUAAACCCCAACCAGCCAAUAGGCACCCCUUUGUAAUUGUCCCCUGCGUCAAUGUGGUGGUGGUGGGGAGGAUGGUCAGGAUCUGGCCUAUGGGCCAAAUAACAGAAGUGACAGCCAGCGUGGUUUUCUAUCUGACCUGGGUCCAGAGAACUCCAUUUCCUGGUUAUGUAUUCAUGACAACGCUCAAUACAAAUCAGUGUGUUUAAAAAUAUAUAUAUCAUGAUGGUGAUAGCUGCAUAUGGGAGAUCUGAACCUCAUUCGUUUAAGGCUUAAACUGCUUUCGCUGACAUUUUAAAUGGCUCCUCUCUCCGUAUUCUGGAGAGAUACCAAGAAAUGCGAUAAUAUAACUCAAGUUUAAAGGGAAGGGUGAGGGAGCUGAGGGACGGCAAGCGAGGAGGUUGGGAGGGUUAACAGAGAGCAACCCUCCCCAAAAAAGGCAAUGAAAGCAGGUGCUCAGGCAAGAAGUCCCUUCUGGGUCCUGAUAUGCAUUAUCCCACCAGCACCACCUUGCUUUGAUCUGCUGCAGCUGCUUAGGAUGUGCUUUAGCAGCACUCGGUCUUCCCGUCUGUGAAAUGGGAGCAACAGAGGUCUACCUUGUAGAUCUGGUUGGUGCAGGUGCUUAAGAUAUGGGGCUUAAUUGCAGUUACUAAAUGAAUAAAUAGCAAGCACCGCGCUACAACUACGUCCAUUUCAGCUGAGGGAGCAGAUACUGAGCAACUAACAGUGCCGGCCUGAGGGUAAGGUAAGUUUUUCACGCCAUCUGAAACUGCUACCCGGAGUCAAGUGCAACUCAUAUGAGCCAGCUGGGUAGCAAAGGGAGAGAGAAAACAGAACUCCUUUUGCCUUGACUAGAUAGAAACAUCUGGCAGGUGUAUAAGAUCAGAUCCAAGGUGUUUGGUCUUUUACUUCAAUCUGAAUUUAAUCUUGCCUCUCUCGACAUGGCACCCUCUGGACUACAACUCCCAUAAAGCCCAGCCACCAUGUCGUCUGUGCCAGGGCCACAGCUCAGAGCAUCUACUUUGCAUGAAGGUCUCAGGCCCAUAGCUGUCAAGUGUCCCUUAUUUGGCGGGACAGUCCCUCAUCCCAGAGCCAUGUCCCACUGCUGUCCCUUAUUGAUGAUGUCCCUUAAAUAAGCUACUGAAGGUAAUGGGGCCCUUUCUAUGUCCAGCUGUCCUUUGUCAACAACAAAUUGUUGCUGUUUUUUGUGUGUUGAAUAUAUGCUAUAUGGUAAUUUAUGGACCUGAUAGGUAUCUAAAGCCAUUUGCAUGCAACAAAAUAUGUAUUUUAUCAAAGUAAUUGUUGAUCCCUUAUUUUGGCUGCUGAUCCCUUAUUUUCGAGGCUGCUGGUCCCUUAUUUUCAAAUCUGUAAGUUGACAGCUAUGCUCAGGCCCCAUCCACUCUCUCUGCAUAAUACUCAUUCUUCAUUUGCAAGAAACCACACUUUGAGUACCAACUGUGGUAGAAUGUCAGAUGAAGACGAUGGAUUUUUCGGAGCUAGCAGACCUGACCGGAAGAGUCCGCGACCAAGAGGAGGAGGAGUAUCAGGAAGAAUGGACAAAAUUUAAUGACUAUUUAGUUAAAUAUGCUAAGUUAAAUUAAUUGGAAAAAGCUUGCAAUUACCAGAUAG
Molecule: non-coding RNA, 3708 nt
Organism: Podarcis lilfordi (Lilford's wall lizard)
Lineage: Eukaryota; Metazoa; Chordata; Lepidosauria; Squamata; Lacertidae
Source: the annotation of a GenBank genome assembly